RNAcentral lists this small RNA (72 nucleotides) under Sinorhizobium meliloti 2011. Its description in RNAcentral is "putative ncRNA". The record is from RNAcentral. Lineage: Bacteria; Pseudomonadati; Pseudomonadota; Alphaproteobacteria; Hyphomicrobiales; Rhizobiaceae.
GUCGCGCUCCAUUCGGGCGAGCGUAUUGGCCAUGGUUGCCUGCUCGAUGUCGAGCCGGUCGAGAAGUUGUCU